GAUGAACGCUAGCUACAGGCUUAACACAUGCAAGUCGAGGGCAGCACUAGGUAGCAAUACUGAGGUGGCGACCGGCGCACGGGUGCGUAACGCGUAUCCAACCUUCCCGUUACUCUUGGAUAGCCUUCCGAAAGGGAGAUUAAUACCCCCAUGGCAUUGAGUUGAGGCAUCUCUACUCAAUUAAAGAAAUUCGGAUAAGGAUAGGCUCGCGUGACAUUAGCUAGACGGCGGGGUAACGGCCCACCGUGGCUACGAUGUCUAGGGGUUCUGAGAGGAAGGUCCCCCACACUGGAACUGAGACACGGUCCAGACUCCUACGGGAGGCAGCAGUGAGGAAUAUUGGUCAAUGGUCGGAAGACUGAACCAGCCAAGUAGCGUGAAGGAUGAAGGUUCUAUGGAUUGUAAACUUCUUUUAUACGGGAAUAAAACCUCCCACGUGUGGGGGCUUGUAUGUACCGUAUGAAUAAGCAUCGGCUAACUCCGUG
Molecule: ribosomal RNA, 485 nt
Filed under: uncultured bacterium
Lineage: Bacteria
Description: bacterial SSU rRNA
Rfam family: Bacterial small subunit ribosomal RNA
Source: RNAcentral